This 2010-nucleotide long non-coding RNA is filed under the name Salmo salar (Atlantic salmon). Its description in RNAcentral is "lncRNA (ENSSSAG00000108223.1)". Lineage: Eukaryota; Metazoa; Chordata; Actinopteri; Salmoniformes; Salmonidae. The record is from RNAcentral.
AUUAUCAACCUAUACAACUAAACACAACAUUAUCAACCUGCUACAACAUUAUCAACCUAUACAACUAAACACAACAUUACCAACCUGCUACAACUCAACACAACAUUACCAACCUGCUACAACUAAAUACAACAUUAUCAACCUGCUACAACAUUAUCAACCUGUACAACUAAACACAACAUUAUCGACCUGCUACAACUAAACACAACAUUAUCGACCUGCUACAACUAAACACAACAUUACAACCUGCUACAACUAAACACAACAUUAUCGACCUGCUACAACUAAACACAACAUUAUCGACCUGCUACACAGAGAGGAACCAAGCAUAAAUGUAUUUUUCCAUUGAUUGAAAAUAGCUGUCACUGCAGGGGGAUGUUUGUAGCCAUCUUUUCAUUUUAUUUUCUCCUUCAUGUGGGAACAUCUAUAAUAUUAGACCCAUCUCUUUAUUCUCUUGAAUGACUUGUACAGACCAGGGUCUGUACCGACCCCGAGCUGGACUGAGGAGGUUUUAUACAGACCAGGGUCUGUAUCGACCCCGAGCUGGACUGAGGAGGUUUUAUUCAGACCAGGGUCUGUACCGACCCCGAGCUGGACUGAGGAGGUUUUAUACAGACCAGGGUCUGUAUCGACCCCGAGCUGGACUGAGGAGGUUUUAUUCAGACCAGGGUCUGUAUCGACCCCGAGCUGGACUGAGGAGGUUUUAUACAGACCAGGGUCUGUAUCGACCCCGAGCUGGACUGAGGAGGUUUUAUACAGACCAGGGUCUGUACCGACCCCGAGCUGGACUGAGGAGGUUUUAUACAGACCAGGGUCUGUACUGAGCUGGACUGAGGAGGUUUUAUACAGACCAGGGUCUGUGAUCAACCAAGAUGGACUGAGGAGGUUUUAUACAGACCAGGAUCUGUACCGACCCAGAACUGAACUGAGGAGGUUUUAUACAGACCAGGGUCUGUACCGACCCAGAGCUGGACUGAGGAGGUUUUAUACAGACCAGGGUCUGUACCGACCCAGAGCUGGACUGAGGAGGUUUUAUACAGACCAGGGUCUGUGAUCAACCAAGAUGGACUGAGGAGGUUUUAUACAGACCAGGGUCUGUACCGACCCAGAACUGGACUGAGGAGGUUUUAUACAGACCAGGGUCUGUACCGACCCCGAGCUGCACUGAGGAGGUUUUAUACAGACCAGGGUCUGUACCGACCCCGAGCUGGACUGAGGAGGUUUUAUACAGACCAGGGUCUGUACCGAGCUGGACUGAGGAGGUUUUAUACAGACCAGGGUCUGUAUCAACCCCGAGCUGGACUGAGGAGGUUUUAUACAGACCAGGGUCUGUACCGACCCCGAGCUGGACUGAGGAGGUUUUAUACAGACCAGGGUCUGUAUCGACCCAGAGCUGGACUGAGGGGUUUUAUACAGACCAGGGUCUGUACCGAGCUGGACUGAGGAGGUUUUAUACAGACCAGGAUCUGUACCGACCCAGAACUGGACUGAGGAGGUUUUAUACAGACCAGGGUCUGUACCGACCCAGAACUGGACUGAGGAGGUUUUAUACAGACCAGGGUCUGUACCGACCCAGAGCUGGACUGAGGAGGUUUUAUACAGACAGGGUCUGUGAUCAACCAAGAUGGACUGAGGAGGUUUUAUACAGACCAGGGUCUGUAUCAACCCCGAGCUGGACUGAGGAGGUUUUAUACAGACCAGGGUCUGUACCGACCCAGAGCUGGACUGAGGAGGUUUUAUACAGACCAGGGUCUGUAUCGACCCCGAGCUGGACUGAGGAGGUUUUAUACAGACCAGGGUCUGUACCGAGCUGGACUGAGGGGUUUUAUACAGACCAGGGUCUGUACCGACCCAGAGCUGGACUGAGGAGGUUCUAUACCUGGUCUGUGUUCAACCAAGAUGGAAGAGGAACGACUCAAACAUCCGAAUCUUAGUGCCAAGGUUACCGUGGAAACAGAGGAGGGGAACUGAUUUGUCUAAGUAACUAAUAUUAAAACAUUAAAAAAAUAA